RNAcentral lists this ribosomal RNA (321 nucleotides) under uncultured Vampyrellida. RNAcentral describes it as "SSU rRNA". It matches the Rfam family "Eukaryotic small subunit ribosomal RNA", at positions 635 to 955 of the family's 1831-position model. Lineage: Eukaryota; Endomyxa; Vampyrellida. The record is from RNAcentral.
AAUUUAUGACUUUAAACAACUGGUCCGUUACUUUGUAACGAGUAUUGGUUUGUUUUUGUCAUCCUUCUGGAGAGCACUUCUGACCUUGAUUGGUAUGGAUGUUGUAAUCCAGAUCAUUUACUGUGAGUAAAUCAAAGUGUUCAAAGCAGGCUUGUGAAGCUUGUAUGCUCUAGCAUGGAAUAAUAAGAUAGGACUUGGGUUCUAUUUUGUUGGCUUUCAGAACCAAAGUAAUGAUCGAUAGGGAUAGUUGGGGGUGCUAGUAUUUAACGGUCAGCGGUGAAAUGCUCAGACCCGUUAAAGACUAACUUAUGCGAAAGCAUU